GGGUUGGUAGCUCAGUUGGGAUGAGCGUUGCACUGAAGAUGCAAAGGUCCCGUGUUCGAUCCACGGCCGACCCA
This is a transfer RNA of Pneumocystis murina B123, 74 nucleotides long. It matches the Rfam family "tRNA". From Rfam's summary of the family: Transfer RNA (tRNA) molecules are approximately 80 nucleotides in length. Their secondary structure includes four short double-helical elements and three loops (D, anti-codon, and T loops). NCBI's taxonomy places the organism in Eukaryota, Fungi, Ascomycota, Pneumocystomycetes, Pneumocystales, Pneumocystaceae. The record is from Rfam.